This is a long non-coding RNA of Bos indicus x Bos taurus (hybrid cattle), 921 nucleotides long. Lineage: Eukaryota; Metazoa; Chordata; Mammalia; Artiodactyla; Bovidae. The record is from Ensembl.
CAGGAGUCUUGGCGGAGAAGGCAAUGGCAACCUACUCCAGUACUCUUGCUUGGAAAAUCCCAUGGACGGAGGAGCCUGGUAGGCUGCAGUCCAUGGGGUUGCUAAGAGUCAGGCACGACUGAGCGACUUCACUUUCAUUUUCACUUUUAUGCAUUGGAGAAGGAAAUGGCAACCCACUCCAGUAUUCUUGCCUGGAGAAUCCCAGGGACAGAGGAGCCUAGUGGGCUGCCGUCUAUGGGGUCGCACAGAGUUGGACACGAUUGAACCGACUUAGCAGCAGCAGCAGCAGGAGUCUUGGAGUUUAAAUGGGAUGCUUCUUUAGAGUGUGAGUGUUAUGUGAAGUGUAAACAGGAGAGGAACAAGGGGUCAGCUUCAAGAAACACAGAGUUGAAGAGGGGAGAUUUCUUCUUGCCAAAGGUGGUCCCAGUAACUACAGCACCUUCACUAAAUGGGCCUGAUUGAGGACCUGCCUGCUCAUCCUUGCAGCCAAGAUGCAGGCCUGGCAGAGCCAGUCUCCUGAUGACUCAUCGUCCCUUCAGAGGUUUCCUGGACCCCUACUCAAGAAAACACUGGGCUGUGCCUCUCAAGUACAGCGAUGAACAGGUGUUCUUUGGCAGGUGUUUCCAUGACCUGAGGGUGUUUCUGAGCUGUGGAGGACUCUCCCUGUCAGCUCACAAGAGACCUGCACAGCUUCCCUGUACUCCCCAACCCUCUGCCGAGGCUGAGAAGUUAUUAGGAGUCCGUGGGCCCCAGUUCUCUUCAACCUUGUCCCAGCAAGAGGCUCCAGACCAGGAUGAGGACCCAGCUGACAGAGCCCUACCCAGAAUGAUUGGAGGCCUCUGCAAUAAACAGCUGCCUGGAAAAGAACACAGCACAGGUCUUGGUCACAUCUGCUGUGAUCAGGAAGGAGGUGACACGUGA